AUUGAACGCUGGCGGCAGGCCUAACACAUGCAAGUCGAACGGUAACAGAAAGCAGCUUGCUGCUUUGCUGACGAGUGGCGGACGGGUGAGUAAUGUCUGGGAAACUGCCUGAUGGAGGGGGAUUACUACUGGAAACGGUAGCUAAUACCGCAUAACGUCGCAAGCCCAAAGGGGGGGACCUUCGGGCCUCUUGCCAUCGGAUGUGCCCAGAUGGGAUUCGCUUGUUGGUGGGGUAACGGCUCACCAAGGCGACCAUCCCUAGCUGGUCUGAGAGGAUGACCAGCCACACUAGAACUGAGACACGGUCCAGACUCCUACGGGAGGCAGCAGUGGGGAAUAUUGCACAAUGGGCGCAAGCCUGAUGCAGCCAUGCCGCGUGUAUGAAGAAGGCCUUCGGGUUGUAAAGUACUUUCAGCGGGGAGGAAGGGAGUAAAGUUAAUACCUUUGCUCAUUGACGUUACCCGCAGAAGAAGCACCGGCUAACUCCGUG
This 490-nucleotide ribosomal RNA is filed under the name uncultured bacterium. RNAcentral describes it as "partial 16S ribosomal RNA". It matches the Rfam family "Bacterial small subunit ribosomal RNA", at positions 30 to 507 of the family's 1533-position model. The record is from RNAcentral.